GACGAACGCUGGCGGCGUGCUUAACACAUGCAAGUCGAGCGGUAAGGCCCUUUCGGGGGUACACGAGCGGCGAACGGGUGAGUAACACGUGGGUGACCUGCCCUCAGCUCUGGGAUAAGCCCGGGAAACUGGGUCUAAUACCGGAUAUGACUUCAUGACGCAUGUUGUGGAGUGGAAAGCCUUGUGCGGCUGAGGAUGGGCCCGCGGCCUAUCAGCUUGUUGGGGGGUGAUGGCCUACCAAGGCGACGACGGGUAGCCGGCCUGAGAGGGCGACCGGCCACACUGGGACUGAGAUACGGCCCAGACUCCUACGGGAGGCAGCAGUGGGGAAUCUUGCGCAAUGGGCGAAAGCCUGACGCAGCGACGCCGCGUGAGGGAUGACGG
Molecule: ribosomal RNA, 384 nt
Filed under: uncultured bacterium
Lineage: Bacteria
Description: bacterial SSU rRNA
Rfam family: Bacterial small subunit ribosomal RNA
Source: RNAcentral